UCCGGAUUCAUUGGGCGUAAAGAGCGUGUAGGCGGCCAGGUAGGUCGGUUGUGAAAACUGGAGGCUCAACCUUCAGAGGUCGACCGAAACCAUCUGGCUAGAGUCCGGGAGAGGAGCGUGGAAUUCCUGGUGUAGCGGUGAAAUGCGCAGAUAUCAGGAGGAACACCAAUGGCGAAGGCAGCACUCUGGGACGGUACUGACGCUGAGACGCGAAAGCGUGGGGAGCAAACAGG
RNAcentral lists this ribosomal RNA (233 nucleotides) under uncultured bacterium. RNAcentral's name for it is "partial 16S ribosomal RNA". It matches the Rfam family "Bacterial small subunit ribosomal RNA", at positions 544 to 776 of the family's 1533-position model. The record is from RNAcentral.